RNAcentral lists this transfer RNA (74 nucleotides) under Candidatus Omnitrophota bacterium. RNAcentral describes it as "tRNA-Arg". It matches the Rfam family "tRNA". Rfam says of the family: Transfer RNA (tRNA) molecules are approximately 80 nucleotides in length. Their secondary structure includes four short double-helical elements and three loops (D, anti-codon, and T loops). RNAcentral also lists the same sequence under 1 other name. Lineage: Bacteria; Pseudomonadati; Candidatus Omnitrophota. The record is from RNAcentral.
GCGCCCAUAGCUCAGUUGGAUAGAGCAUCUGCCUUCUAAGCAGAGGGUCGCAGGUUCAAAUCCUGCUGGGCGCG